AACUUAGAGGAAAUGCCAGCUGAGUCCUGACCUUCCUCCUUCCGUGACAGAAUUCCAGCUGUACCAUGACAGAAAUCUGACUCUGAGAGUGAGGGGAGUGUGGUGGUUUCCUUGGACUCCAUCCAAACGAAGCAAGAUGAGCAUCUGUCUGCUGAUUUAUCAAGAGGACCAGCGAUGGUUUAGGAAUGAUGGACAGUCCUCUGAGGAAGCAGUGCCAGAAGCAUGAUGAGCAGAAAUGCUGAACAAGAUGCUGGCUGGAGGGGAAAUCGGUCUCCCAGGCCGAUUAGCUUGGGCCAAAAGCCAUUGCUCUGGAUCCCACUCAAGUGUGGGUUGGCUGUGCCAAUACCAUCAACUACGUUGACUACAUUUAUAGGCAACAGUAUCUGACGCCCUUUCUGCCUAGGCCUUGGGCAGGUGUCCUUAGUGCCUGGAGGGAGAGCCAUCUGCGUUUCUCCGUCCUCCCACAAGGACCCAGAUUUGUGCAAUUCUACCUUUUGCUCCUUGAGAUGAACUCUUUCCUGGAAGACCCAGGCCAUGAUUCUCCAAACGUGCCCAAGGAUGGCUGAAUCCAAGGUGAACAAAGUUGAGGUCCAGGCUGAGACCCUGUCACUCCCUCAAAUGGACGUUCACGGGAAAACAGGACAUCACGCGUCAGCCCUGACACGCUCACGGGUAUUUCCUUGGCGAAGCAGAGGAACCCAGGGGACAGUGUCCUGGCUCUUCGGAAUCAAAUCUUCAAAUGACCUUUUGUUACUGAGGUGAAGAAAGAGUGAGAUAGUCGAAAAGAGAAGCAGGGCAGUGGAGCAUCAUCUCAGCUGUGGUGUUAAUGAGUCUGAGCAAGUCAUUUCCUCUUCCAGCUCUCACUUUCCUCACUCUGUGAAAUCAGAGUGGUACUCUGUCUAGAGCAGGGGUUGGCAGUCUUUUUCUGUGAGAUGGCCAGAUAGUAAAUAUUUUAGGCUUUGUGGCUCAUACAGUCUCUAUCACGACUUCUCAACUCUGCAGUUGUAGCUCAAAGGCAGCCACAGACCAUACUGUGUGGCUGUGUUCCAAAGAAACUUGAUUUCUAGAAACAAGCGGUGGCCUAGAUAUGGCUCACAGGCCAUGGUUUGUCAACCCCAGAUCUUCUAGGUGUUCUCCAAAGUCUCUUUAAGUUUCAACAAUUCCUUUAGGUUAGGAGUGGAUUUCCUUGA
Equus quagga is the source of this 1190-nucleotide long non-coding RNA. RefSeq lists it as uncharacterized. NCBI's taxonomy places the organism in Eukaryota, Metazoa, Chordata, Mammalia, Perissodactyla, Equidae. The record is from RefSeq and is a predicted model, not a curated record. The transcript is spliced from 4 exons.